RNAcentral lists this ribosomal RNA (949 nucleotides) under uncultured rumen bacterium. RNAcentral describes it as "bacterial SSU rRNA". It matches the Rfam family "Bacterial small subunit ribosomal RNA", at positions 77 to 1009 of the family's 1533-position model. The record is from RNAcentral.
CCUUCGGGAGCUGACGAGUGGGCGGACGGGUGAGUAAUGUCUGGGAAACUGGCUGAUGGAGGGGGAUAACUACUGGAAACGGUAGCUAAUACCGCAUAACGUCUUCGGACCAAAGUGGGGGACCUUCGGGCCUCAUGCCAUCAGAUGUGCCCAGAUGGGAUUAGCUAGUAGGUGGGGUAACGGCUCACCUAGGUGACGAUCCCUAGCUGGUCUGAGAGGAUGACCAGCCAACACUGGAACUGGGACACGGUCCAGACUCCUAAGGGAGGCAGCAGUGGGGAAUAUUGGACAAUGGGGCGCAAGCCUGAUGCAGCCAUGCCGCGUGUAUGAAGAAGGGCUUCGGGUUGUAAAGUAAUUUCAGCGGGGAGGAAGGGUGUUGUGGUUAAUAACCACAGCAAUUGACGUUACCCGCCAGCAAGAAGCACCGGCUAACUCCGUGCCAGCAGCCGCGGUAAUACGGAGGGUGCAAGCGUUAAUCGGAAUUACUGGGCGUAAAGCGCACGCAGGCGGUUGAUUAACGUCAGAUGUGAAAUCCCCGGGCUCAACCUGGGAACUGCAUUUGAAACUGGUCAGCUUGAGUCUCGUAGAGGGGGGUAGAAUUCCAGGUGUAGCGGUGAGAUGCGUAGAGAUCUGGAGGAAUACCGGUGGCGAAGGCGGCCCCCUGGAACGAAGACUGACGCUCAGCGUGCGAAAGCGUGGGGAGCAAACAGGAUUAGCAUACCCUGGCUAGCUCCACGCCCGUAAACGAUGUCGACUUGGAGGUUGUGCCCUUGCAGGCGUGGCCUUCCGGAGCUAACGCGUUAAGUCGACCGCCUGGGGAGUACGGCCGCAAGGUUAAAAACUCAAAUGAAUUGACGGGGGCCCGGCACAAGCGGUGGAGCAUGUGGUUUAAUUCCGAUGGAACGCGAAGAACCCUUACCUUGGCCCUUUGACAAUUGCAUAGAAAUCA